Long non-coding RNA from Manis pentadactyla (Chinese pangolin), 4538 nucleotides. RefSeq lists it as uncharacterized. The record is from RefSeq and is a predicted model, not a curated record. NCBI's taxonomy places the organism in Eukaryota, Metazoa, Chordata, Mammalia, Pholidota, Manidae. The transcript is spliced from 4 exons.
GGGGAGAAGCACCCCACUUGCUAUCCCAAGCAUCUCUGCAGCGCUUUCCUUACCAGUCCGCAUUGUGCCCUGGAGCCAGGAGCACCAUCAUGAAGUGGGAGUGUGAGGUGCGGGGGGCUCGGGCUUUGCUUUUGAGGAACUGUCAAGAGCACCCAGGUCUAAUGUUGUCUCUCUUUUGGCGAAGGAUCUGGGGGUGAAACUUUGGCCAGUGAACAGAAGAAAUUGCUGCGGAGUACUCCCCCCUCUACUAUUUUAAUCAAGGCCUCUCUGACUUCAGCUUUUUUAGGGUGCUUUUCUUUUAGGGUGCUGGGCUUGAAGAAGGCCCCUCUCAAAUUCUGUCCUCGAAGCAGCAGGCAUGGCAAGUGCUCUGGAGUCAGCUGGCUCUGAAGUUCUGGGGACAUCGUGAAGUCGUCAGAGUGCAGGUGACAUAUCUGUUUCUCAUCUCUUGCUAUAAAUCACCUGACUGGAAUAUGAAUUACUUUUGUGAUGGAGGAACCCUUGGAUAUGUGAAGCAAAGCUUCACUUUUUUGGGCUUAUUUUUAAAGGGGAGAAGUGCUGAUGUGUGCCAGAUGACAGUCACCUUGGAAUCACAUGCUUGCGUCUAUAACCGGCUUGCACACCUCUUGCUAAAUGUUUUCCUGUUUGUAGAAGCAUGUGGCUGUGUUGAAAGAAUUUCACAAGAGCGCUGGCCCAUUUCUCUUAGAGUCCUUCCCACACUUUAUUGCCUGCUUCUGCUGAUAAGAAAUGCCAAUGCAGUUUGGGUUGAAACUGCAUCAGAGAAGAGUCAAAGAGCUAAGUCCAGAGAGAGCUCCUUUAAAAAUAAAGUGUGACCUGGCCUUUACAGUCUAGGUACAUGCCACCCUCUUCACCUGAGGACUGAAUCCACAGAGUGCACCCCUCAGAGGUGGGGCAGAACUGAUGGAGAACCUGGACCAACCGCCCUCCCUCCUUGGGCCCCUCUCAGCAACCAUGAGGUCUACAUGGAAGUGUAACUCCAGGUCUUGUGGAAGUGAGAACUGCAGUGGUGGCCCCCGACUCUCCCCACCCCGCCCCACGUCUAUUUUGGGGCUUCUGCCUGGGGACUCCUCUCACCUAUCUGAAGGGCUGGCUUGAAGUGGACUCAUUCAGGACCUUUCUUUAUAGAACUCAGAGCCUUUGUUUGUAGCCUUAUCUUUGUCCUCAUGGCGUUAGAAGCAAAGAUACUUUCCAUUACAGUUUUCUAUAAUGUGCAUUCUGCUCCAAGCUCUGCGGUCAUUGGUACAAUUGCACUGAAUCCUGAUCUUGCUGCCAGAAUGCAGCCUGAGGCUGAAGACCUGGGACCAGGAAUGUCUGAUCUGGUGGGUGGACCCUGGCUCAGAUCUUACCUAAAUCACCAGAGAGGUAAAUUGAAGCAGAGACAAUAAUCAUGGCCAGCCUCACUCCCCCAUCCUACAGAAGGGGUGGGAACUGAAUUUUAAGCAGCUGGAAAGAUGUAAAGAGUAUAUAAAUUGCAUUUUUUUCAACUAUGAUUUUUUUUACUAUUCAUUCUGAGGUCCAGUUAGAACAUAAUGUGGAAUUUUAUUAGAGAAAAGCUGGCAUAACUUUGUAACCUGCUUCAACUCCUUCAGAUACAAUUGUGGUCAUAUCACUUUUAAAUUCCCAAAUAAUUUAUUGAGUGUAUGUAUGCCUCUAUAUACCUGCCUCUUGAGGGCACCCUCCAAAAUGUAUGUAAUCCUGGGAAUAAAGGGUUACUUAAUCCAACGAAGUUCAGUUAACUCUGCUUCUAAAUGUCAACCAGAGAGCUGCGCAAUCUCCCAUUGUUGUCUCUUACCACAUGGUGACAGUGUUGAAGGCGAACCUGCACAGCUCUGGGGACACUUCUACACUGUGUGUUGAUGUCCUGCGUCCUCCAUCUCUGCACCAGUUGGGGUGAUGGUCUACUGGUGGCCUUCUGGGGCACAGUCCUCCUCAUCCACACUGGGCUUAGCCAGCGUUUCCCUGGAUCAGGGCACAGUGCCGGGAGCCAAGCUCUGAGGAGUCACUAGCACAAGCUGUGCCACAGCAGUGCUGUCCAACAAGCUUAGGCCAUGUACUGAGCCCACGCCAGCAAAGAGAUUCCCAAGGACUUUCUGAAUUCCUCUUUGGGACCACUGAUAUCUUUUCUUACAGAUGUUGGGUCAGAACCACCACUGUACUUCCUGACCGGCCCUUAAUGUUGAAUGGCUGGCUCUGUCCCUUUUCUUUUCUCUCAAUGGACUCUGGGGCUUCUUUAACAGACCUCUUAGCCCCACCUUCAGCAGCCAGUUCCUCAUACCAGAGGGGAGAUGUUUGCCUUUGCUUGAAUACAAUAUGUUAAUUAGGUCCUAAAGGAGAGGCCCAAGCAAUGUUUCAUCAAAGGAAGAAGACCUCUUCUGAGGUGGAUUGCUAUUUUACCAGACAAAGACGGUGUCCAGGUCGCCUCUGUAGUGAAGGCACUUGCAUUUGAGGAUAGACUGGAGGCAGGGGCACAGACGGUGUCAAGGAGAGAAGCAUGGAGUGCAAGGCCUUAGCGAUCAUUCAGCCUCCAACCCGCACAGUGGCUCUGAACCUGGCCAGAUCUCAGGCGAGCUGCCUGGAGCACCAUCUGUGCGCUUGGUCACGCUCACGGCCUCGCUCCCUGAAGACUGGGAUGUGCAACUUGAAGAAAUGAGUCCAGAGGCAACUAUGGGCAGUGAAAAGAUCAGCAGGUGUGCAACCAGGUUACAGGAACAACGCUCGCAGUGCUAGUCAUGCAAACUGGGGAUAAUGCCACUGAAUCCAUAGAUAAUCUAUGGAUUAAAUAAUGCAGUGUAUGUGAAAACAUAUCUGACUCAUACGAGGUGGAACACGGCACUGGACCAUGACCCGGUCCAGGUGCUGGGUCUUAAAUUAUUCCAGUGUUGCCUUUUUUUCUCAUUUGAUUAAUGAAUGAAUAGUGGUAUGUUUGCCUCCCUCUGACCUCACUGACCUGGUAAAAGAAUUGUCUUCAGUCACAAGCAGUCCUCUUCUUCAGUCCAGGAACCCCCCCUUAGUGCACAGGACAGAGCGGUGUCCCCACGGGACCCAGACCUGAGGCGCUCUGUGAGCAAGGGCUCUGGAGUCUGACAACCUGGGGCACAGUCUUCCUGCCCCCCUCCUAGAGAGUCAUGGCCACAAAGGUUUCAAGAGGACGCACAGACAUACCGAAGCCUGGUGUUGGUUACCCUUAGGGGUGGGGUUGAUGUACAGAAGGUGGGAUUAUCUGUUUUUAUUUUAUAAACCUCUGUAGUGUUUGUUUACAAGGAGCAUGUCAUUUUUCAUCAGUUAAAUCCUAUAAAAUAAAAAUAAUUAAGAAAAGGAGACUGGAAAAAGGUUCUGAGAAGUCCUGCCAUGGGAAACCUAGGACUUCCCAAAUGUUUCUGAUCACACAAUCCUUCCCUGGGUCUCUGGAGCGUUCUCUGGGAAGUGCUCAUAACAUCCAUCUUUCAUGACUACAAACAUCUUAAAAUAAUUUAACUUCAAGAGGUAGCAGGGGUUAAAACAAAACCCGUAUGCCUCAUUUUACUAGAAAAUAAAGUGAAGCCCAAGAGGUUAGUAGGCCUGCCAAGGGUGGCAUGGCUCAGUGAAGGCAGAUGGGGGUGCUACCCCCUCCUUGACCAGGGAAGAGAAGCCUCUGGUGGCUGGCUCUUGGGGUCACGGCACCCUUACAUCACAACGUGGGACAUUAGCUGUGUAAACAGGUGAGUACUGGGAAGUCAGGACACCACCUCUGCUCUGUGUAUUGUGCUUCAGCAUUGAACACCUCAAGCUUUUCUAUAAAUAAAUGUUUUCAGGUCUGGGCUCAGGGACUUCUGUCACCACCCUGGGGGGUACGAAUUCAGUGUCCCCAUGCUCUCCCCCAAUACUGCAUGCUCCACCAGGAGAGGGCCUGGCGAGGGCUGACCUGCAUGUUAGUUUGUGUCGCAGCUGCCAUUGUGAGUUCCUGCUUCCUUGACAUGCCUCCACAUGGCUUCCCAGAGACUUUAGAGAUGCUGGAUGGGAUGAGGAGGCACAGAACUGACUGGCUGUGAGCAUGCCGCACUAAGCCCACUAGGACACUUCCUGGGGAACUGUUGUGGGCAUCGUCCGGCUUCUACCAAAUGGGAAAGCUGCUGGACCCCCAGCACUCCAGGCCACUGCAAAGGCUAGGCUUCUGCCUCCGUCCAAGUCCCAGGGUUUCAGGAUGACUUUGAAGUUCAUUCUUUCAAGGACAGAAGGGAAUUCCUACUAGUCCACUGACAGUAAAGUUCAUGACAGAGAACUUCAUCUGCAUGCCAUUACUGUAUUUUUGGGUGUUCUUGGAGAUUUUAUUCUGUUUACUCUGAAAGAAAAUCUGUUGAACACAAAUGUUCUGUUUCUAAUACAAUUUUGGAGCAUUAUAUGCAUCUGUUGUGGAGUGCAUUGUACUGGUGCCGAGAAUAAAGGGACCGAGGGCAAGGCGGUCUGUGCCCUUGAGCUUGGGCCUCAUGGAGAGAGGGGCCAUGGUAAGAGGUGCGUCAGGGCUUCGGGAGCGAUGGGCGGGA